GGAGAUGUCAGCGGGGGAGUGCGAGAUUACCAGGUACGGAACACUUUGUCUUUCUUGAAUUGGCCACGCCAGCAGAACAGCCAUGUUCCAACACAGACUGCUGGCUCCAAGGCAACAGCUUCUGUUGAGAAGAUACUUGUUGUGGUUGAUCUGUCUAGUCAUUACUCUAUAGCCGUGAAGAGCAGGCAUGCCUGGUGCCUGGGUCAAGCUGUCCCUGCAGACCUUGGGGACACUGUGUGAACCAGGCCAGGUGUAGGGGGUCUCUCUUGCUUUGGCCUUGGAGAGUCCUCUCUGGGGUGGAAGUGGACCAGCAUCAAGGGUCUGCUCAUAUACAGUUUUUCUUCUUUUAAUUAUAAUCUCUCAGUACUUUAGGCUACCCUUUUCCUGCGUGUUCUCAAAUGAAAAGACACUGAUGUCUUAGCCAAUAGGAGAGAGCAGUUUGCCCUCAUGACAUUCCUUUCUCACUAGAACCUAAAACUUGUUUAAAAAAAGAAA
RNAcentral lists this small RNA (495 nucleotides) under Pongo abelii (Sumatran orangutan). RNAcentral's name for it is "retained intron". Lineage: Eukaryota; Metazoa; Chordata; Mammalia; Primates; Hominidae. The record is from RNAcentral.